GGGGGCGAACUGGUCUCGACGGAGGUUAUGAGACACAGGUUGCACGCCGAGGUCCCACCCACCUCGUUAAACUGGUGGAAAACAAAUUUAACUGCAGAACCUUUAGCAGUCGCGGCCUAAGAGAAAGGCACGCCGUUCCGGGGGCUCCCUCCCGCAGGGCCUUCGGAGCGUCAACCGGGCGGGAUAGCGAGCCGGUUUCGCCCUGAGGCCGGGGAGCGAAACACCUUCGGGGCUGGUUUCCCGGCGCCCUUCCCCUUCGAGCGCCGGGCGACGAGAUCAAGGAAGGGGAUAAGCGUGUAGAGACCUGCUGUUGAAUGCUUUCGGACGCGGGUUCGAUUCCCGCCGCCUCCACCA
This 354-nucleotide transfer-messenger RNA is filed under the name Candidatus Aminicenantes bacterium RBG_16_66_30. It matches the Rfam family "transfer-messenger RNA". From Rfam's summary of the family: Bacterial tmRNA, also known as 10Sa RNA or SsrA, is named for its dual tRNA and mRNA-like properties. Its role is to liberate the mRNA from a stalled ribosome. Lineage: Bacteria; Candidatus Aminicenantota. RNAcentral also lists the same sequence under 1 other name. The record is from RNAcentral.